GUGGGAGCCAACUCUGAAAUGUAAAAUGUUGGUCAUAUGCUCAGCCCUGAAGCAUGCUCACAGAUGGGAGGAAGACGGGGCCGCUGUGUGCCUGCUUCUGUUAGCAUAGCCAGUGUUUCUCACCCAUCACUACUGCUUGUUUUCUGUCUCCUUGGCUACCUCUUUCUGGAAGAAUCAAGUCUUCUGAUCAGCAAGCCAGGACUUCCGGAGUAAUUCUAAAAAGCCAGUGGGUCUUGUCCAACCAGACCCUGUACAGACUAGGAGGUCUGGGAUAUUCUGUGACAAUUCCAGGCUGAAGCAGAAAAGCAGAGGCUACAGCAUGUUUCCCGUCACUGUGGUUCCCUGGAGGCGAAUGCUCACGGCUCCUCCUUAGGUAUGUAAAGACCUAGUUUCACUGUUUGUGCUGCUUUUCUUCUCUUAUUUGUAUUUGCUCUAUUUACUUAAUUGAACCUAGGUCCAGAUGAAAGAACCAUCUCAUGUUGUAUUCCCAAAGAGGAAAUGAUUCUCUGGUGACCCCCUUGGGGAUUCGCUCGCGCCCGAGAGUCACAGAGAAGGAAUGUUUUCUCUAUGCCUAUGGUCUCCCAUAGCCUCCCAGCCCUCCUAAACCAGCAACUCUCUGUGUUUGCAUUUUUAGACCCCUCUCAGUAUUGUUUUUGAUUCUACCCUCUUUCAACUCAAAAAUAAAGGAGGGGAGGGGGGCGUUAGAACUUCCUUAAGCUCAAAAUUUCAUGGACAAUUGUGAGCUGUUUGCAGAAGACAGUGUUCACUGUUGAAAAGGCACUGGGAUCAAUGGAAUCUGUCUUUAGAAUGCAGAUCCCUAAAUCUUACCCAAGACCUGUUGAAUUACAGUUUCUAGGGGAUGGAGCUGUGAAUCAGCUCCAGACAGAACCACUCCUGGGCAUGGGGACAGCUGACCAUCCUGUAAAUGUAGGGCUUCCCAAGCUCAUGGGUAGGCGGGCUUUUCAGUGGGGUGACUGACUCUGAUAACGCCAAAUUAGAGACAUCUGGGUGGGGCUGUACCCAAAUCAUCCCAGGAAGCUGAGCUGGCCGCCUCCUGUUCUUAUCAAAAAUCUCCUUGGGAAGAAGCUUCUCCUAAAACUGGAGGGGGAGUAAUUAUGCUAAGAGCAAUACACCAGAUGCAGAAAGAUAGACACUGUACGAGGUACCUGGAAUAGGCAAACUCCUGGGGAAUUCAGGCAGAGGGAGACUUACCAGGGCUGGGAAGAGUGGGAAGCGGGAGUCAGUGUUUAAUGAGGACAGGGUUUCUGUUGUGGAUGAUGAAAAAGUUUUGUGUAUAGAUAGUGGUGAUGGUUACACAACAUUGUGAAUGGUAAGAGUAGGAAAGGGGAGUUAGUAUUUAACGGGGACAGAGUUUCUGUUGUGGAUGAUGAAAAAGUUUUGUGUAUAGAUAGUGGUGAUGGUUACACAACAUUGUGAAUGGUAACAGUGGGAAGGGGAAGUCAGUAUUUAAUGUUGAAAAGGCAUUGGGAUCUGUUGCGGGUGAUGAAAAAGUUUUGUGUAUAGAUAGUGGUGAUGGUUAUACAACGUUGUGAAUGUGUUUAAUGCCACUGAAUCGUAUACUUACUUACGGAUGGUUAAAAUAAUAAACGUUAUGUGUAUACAUUUUUUUCCACAAAAACUGGAGGGAAAAUGGAUUAUAAUAUUUUAAAAUUCAAUAUGUGAUUAAUAGUCAUUUGGAAAGAAAAUGUGAAAGUAUUGUACGGUGAAUAAAAACCCUAGGAAGAAACCCAUUUCCUAAUCUGUAGGGCUGGCCUAUGAAGCAUGAGUUCAUGGGCUCCAGAGUUAUUUCACUAUCAGGAAUUGCACGUUAUUGGCUUUUCACAGAAUACAUAUAAUUGCUGGAACUACAGAGCAAAGAGGCUCGUUAGGAUAAUCUUCCAGGCCUCCUCAUUUUGCAGGUCAGGAAGUUAUUUGGCUCUGGUUCUGGCUCCAGAAAUCUACCCAUGAUAAAGAUGGGCAAGAACCACGGCCUUUUGAUUUCCAGCCCAAUAUGCCUCCCUGCAAAACUCUCCUGUACAGGAAAAUCAAAACAGCCCCAGAAAACACACACUAAGUUCUGACCGUCUCUUGUCAAAUAGGGGCCUCCAGCUGACCACAGCGCCCAACGUAGCCUGCACUGAAUGAAAGAUUCACCCAUGGACUCCACAUGUAUUUGCCCAGUUAAACUCACAGCGGUCCCAUGAGGGAAGUGAAUGAUUAGUUUGCACAUUGAAAUGGGAAUUGGAAGACAACAACAUUUGACAUACUUGGCCUCUUUUGCAAUUUUCUCAUCAAAGGCAAGUUCUCUAUAAAUGUCUAACAGAAAUGACUUACAAUAAUUAGGCCUUCUCCCUUCUUCCGUUUAUCUAAUAAAAGUGCUCUAAAUGGUUAAUGCUAAUAUCUCAGAAUGCUUCAAUUAAAUGAAACAUUAACAUUUAAAGUUAGCUUUCAGGAGAAUUUAAACUUGAAGUUUCUACUGAUUGCCUUGCUGCUGACAUUAAUUUAAGCACAAGCAAUCAUGAAACCACCAAAUAGUUCAGAGAAACAUGGUUUUCAAGCAAAGGUGAGAUAACUUUGUCAAGAAAAGAAAACAGAGCUAUAAAACCUAAUAAACCAUUGAGAACAACCACACACAGUACUCUGACUUGAGUCAGAUUGAGACCUUUCCAUUUGCACCUAAAUUCUGCCUGGAAAAAAAGCUACAUCAAAGCUUGAUACAGAAGAAAAAAUGCAAACAGAAUGGAACACACCUUUCCUUCCUCUUUCUUUCAAAAAACCUAGGCUAAUUCCAUAAUUAUUUCAUUAAAAUAGCCUCUAACUCCUCCCAUAAUUAAACCAAUCCCAAAAAUAGGAAAAUUAAAACCAACAGAACAACCAGUUAAAAGAAGCUAACGCAAGCUAACCCUAUGUGAGCCUGAUUUAUGUGAUGAGAGAAGGGAAAAUAGGAGACCAGUGUACAGGAAGGAGAGCCACACUGCUGUGCUGGAUUGGGAAGGGAGAAUAGCUGCAAAGAGAGAAGAGAAAGGGAAGACAGCUGUGGAUGGGCAAGGUGGGGUGGAGAGUGGAGGCACAGAGGCUGGCCGUGCUGCCGCUGGAGAGUGGCUCUCAAGAGGCCAUGUUAAAAGAAGACACUGUAUGCGGAAUGCGGAAAGCAGCAGAAAUGAUUUCCCACCAAAUCCUCUCCAUCUGGAGGCUUGGCGCAGGGCGUGGCUGGCCAUGUGGUUGCAUGCUGAUGGAGGUCCUGCUGCUCAGCUGUGGCUUGUGUUUGACAUUCUAGAAUGAAGGUAGGACGUUUGGGGAAUGGGUGGCCCAAUUUUGGGAAUAAUAGAUUUUAUUAUCAGUUAGAAGCUCAAUUUAAUCAGGACAACAUAAAACAAUGAGGGAGUAAUGUAGGGUUGCAGACAAAGCUCUACCAUUGAUUAUUUUGUGACUCAAACAAGUGUCUGAUUUGAGCAACUUGCUUCAUCUA
This 3469-nucleotide long non-coding RNA is filed under the name Homo sapiens (human). RNAcentral's name for it is "HSALNT0344260". The record is from RNAcentral. Lineage: Eukaryota; Metazoa; Chordata; Mammalia; Primates; Hominidae.